GUGGGGAAUUUUGGACAAUGGGCGCAAGCCUGAUCCAGCCAUGCCGCGUGCAGGAUGAAGGCCUUCGGGUUGUAAACUGCUUUUGUACGGAACGAAAAAGCUCUCUCUAAUACAGGGGGUGAAUGACGGUACCGUAAGAAUAAGCACCGGCUAACUACGUGCCAGCAGCCGCGGUAAUACGUAGGGUGCAAGCGUUAAUCGGAAUUACUGGGCGUAAAGCGUGCACAGGCGGUUAUGUAAGACAGAGGUGAAAUCCCCGGGCUCAACCUGGGAACUGCCUUUGUGACUGCAUAGCUGGAGUGCGGCAGAGGGGGAUGGAAUUCCGCGUGUAGCAGUGAAAUGCGUAGAUAUGCGGAGGAACACCGAUGGCGAAGGCAAUCCCCUGGGCCUGCACUGACGCUCAUGCACGAAAGCGUGGGGAGCAAACAGGAUUAGAAACCCGAGUAGUCC
Molecule: ribosomal RNA, 450 nt
Filed under: uncultured bacterium
Lineage: Bacteria
Description: bacterial SSU rRNA
Rfam family: Bacterial small subunit ribosomal RNA
Source: RNAcentral